GCCCGGGUAGCUCAGUCGGUAGAGCGUCUGACUUUGGCUCAGGUCAUGAUCUCAUGGUCUGUGAGUUCGAGCCCCAUGUCGGGCU
Neofelis nebulosa (Clouded leopard) is the source of this 85-nucleotide non-coding RNA. The record is from the annotation of a RefSeq genome assembly. NCBI's taxonomy places the organism in Eukaryota, Metazoa, Chordata, Mammalia, Carnivora, Felidae.